Molecule: transfer RNA, 80 nt
Filed under: Coccidioides posadasii RMSCC 1038
Lineage: Eukaryota; Fungi; Ascomycota; Eurotiomycetes; Onygenales; Onygenaceae
Description: tRNA-Val (AAC) (tRNA-Val-AAC-3-1)
Source: RNAcentral
GGCCGAGGUGGUGUAGUUGGUUAUCCACGUUUCGUUAACACCGAAAAGGUCCCUGAGUUCCGAGUCUUCAGCUUGGUUCA